This 253-nucleotide ribosomal RNA is filed under the name uncultured bacterium. RNAcentral describes it as "partial 16S ribosomal RNA". It matches the Rfam family "Bacterial small subunit ribosomal RNA", at positions 524 to 776 of the family's 1533-position model. The record is from RNAcentral.
UACGGAGGGUGCGAGCGUUAAUCGGAAUCACUGGGCGUAAAGCGCGCGUAGGUGGUUUAGUAAGUCAGAUGUGAAAGCCCCGGGCUUAACCUGGGAACUGCAUUUGAAACUGCUUGACUAGAGUUUGGUAGAGGGAAGUGGAAUUCCGAGUGUAGCGGUGAAAUGCGUAGAGAUUCGGAGGAACACCAAUGGCGAAGGCAACUUCCUGGACCAAAACUGACACUGAGGUGCGAAAGCGUGGGUAGCAAACAGG